AACGAACGCUGGCGGCAGGCUUAACACAUGCGAGUCGAGCGCCCCGCCAGGGGAGCGGCCGACGGGUGAGUACCGCGUGGGAACGUACCUUUUGGUUCGGAACAACUCCGGGAAACUGGAGCUAAUACCGGAUAAGCCCUAACGGGGAAAGAUUUAUCGCCGAAAGAUCGGCCCGCGUCUGAUUAGCUAGUUGGUGAGGUAACGGCUCACCAAGGCGACGAUCAGUAGCUGGUCUGAGAGGAUGAUCAGCCACACUGGGACUGAGGCACGGCCCAGACUCGGCGGGGACGCAGGGGCGGGAAAGAGCGACGAAGGGGCGCAAGCGGGAGCGAGCGGGGGGGGGGGAGGAAGGAAGGACGGGGGGUGUAAAGGUGCUGUGGUCGGGGAAGAGAAUGACUGAGGAAGAAGAAUAACCCGGUGAUGAGUGCGCGACAAGACGGGGGGUAAUAAAGGCAGGAGAGGCCAGUAGAAG
RNAcentral lists this ribosomal RNA (472 nucleotides) under uncultured bacterium. RNAcentral's name for it is "partial 16S ribosomal RNA". The stretch from base 21 to 296 matches the Rfam family "Bacterial small subunit ribosomal RNA", at positions 48 to 357 of the family's 1533-position model. The record is from RNAcentral.